GACGAACGCUGGCGGCGCGCUUAACACAUGCAAGUCGAGCGGAAAGGCCUGCUUUCCCUUGUGGAUUGCGGGUACUCGAGUGGCGGACGGGUGAGUAACACGUGAGUGAUCUGCCCCCAACUUGGGUAUAAGCCUGGGAAACUGGGUCUAAUUCCCGAUAGGACUGCAGGGUGGUGCCUGUGGUGGAAAACGAUUUUCUAGUGGUUGGGGAUGAGCUCGCGGCCUAUCAGCUUGUUGGUGGGGUAAUGGCCUACCAAGGCGGCGACGGGUAGCCGGCCUGAGAGGGUGGACGGCCACAUUGGGACUGAGAUACGGCCCAGACUCCUACGGGAGGCAGCAGUGGGGAAUAUUGCACAAUGGGCGGAAGCCUGAUGCAGCGACGCCGCGUGGGGGAUGACGGCCUUCGGGUUGUAAACUCCUUUCGACCGCGAGGAAGCCACCUGGUUGGAAGGGUGGUGACGGUAGUGGUAGAAGAAGCACCGGCUAACUACGUG
This 494-nucleotide ribosomal RNA is filed under the name uncultured bacterium. RNAcentral describes it as "partial 16S ribosomal RNA". It matches the Rfam family "Bacterial small subunit ribosomal RNA", at positions 28 to 507 of the family's 1533-position model. The record is from RNAcentral.